GUAUUUAAAUUGCGUUAAAGCAACAUAUCGCAUUCUAAAGACAUGCAGGGUGUAUAAUAAAGACAUGAGAAUCGUCCCGAGAGACGUCCCACAUUGAGUUCACAGGUGUAAGUGGAUUAAGAGCUCAGGCGUGCACAUGCCCCGAGGGGCCAGCGACAACCUUUGCUUAUAAUUCGAUAAUGAUCCUUCCGCAGGUUCACCUACGGAAA
Molecule: unclassified non-coding RNA, 209 nt
Filed under: uncultured fungus
Lineage: Eukaryota; Fungi
Description: sequence contains ITS1
Source: RNAcentral